UAAUCCUUGUAGCUGUUUAUGCAUCUUGUAAUAGUAUACUAUAGAUGAGUAAUAUGCAAUCUUGACAUGUACGUGUGUUAUUAAUAAGUACUUAAUGGUGAAGAAUAUUAAAUGUUGUUUUACCAGCAUGAUAUCUCAUUUUGAUAUCACAAUAAUAACUAAUAAUUCUGUUCAUCAAGUUAGGCUGUUACAAUGAUAAUGAUCCUUUGUAAUGGUUCCUAGCCUAGAAAUCCAACACAGUACAUGUAAUUUAGUCUGGUUUGGUAGAGGUACCAUUUACAUCGCAAGUUGUACUAAGGGUUAUGAUACAUAAUUACAUGUACCAUUCACAUGUAUACUAAGAAAUGAUUAUAUUCUGUUAGCUGCAAUAAUACUAAUGACUAUCAUGAUAGCUACUAAAUACUGAUGUAAUUAUUAAUAAUGCAAUUCUCUAUUCUUGUUGUUGUAUUCCUGGACUACUAUUCUUGUAUAUCUUUGUCUCAUAUUGAUAUUUCUUCCUUUCUUUUGCCUUUCUCUCCACCUAGUACAUGUAAAUGUACAUCUAACUUUUGCUCUUUCUCUUUUCGUCCUAUAAAGGAUUCUCCUGUCUCUCAUGUUCUUUGUCUUUUUGUGUUAACACAAGCUUAUAGUAUCAUAUUGUAACAGUUUUGGGUCACAGAUGCAUUGCUUGUCAAGAUUCAAGAUCCCAUGAAAUCCACCUGCUUUUUAUUUUUGGCGAAAGAUGUGGGAACAGAACAAUCCUAACAACAUGAUGGAGAAUAGAAUUAUGACAAAAUGCUAAGAGAAUUCAAAGCAUGUCCCAUUUGAAAAAUGCUGUUAACUAUACUCAUAAUCAAGAAACAGUUUGUUCCAUAGACAUUAUCAUAUAAAGGCUGUGUUAAGAUUAAUAUGCACUAAUGCAAUGAUAAGUCGUAUGUGAUGUAAAUGUACAUGUAUUUGAGUUAAUGGAUUACUAAGUAAUUGUAAUGGUAGUUGUCACAGGCCUAUGUCACUGAGUCCCUGACUGUACAUGAAUGUACAAUGUAUUCUCAGAUAAAUUCAUUAACAAUGACAUUGCCUUCUGAGCACAGAUGGCAAUGAAGUUACCAUUGCCAUUACUAUUACUUUUUUAAUAACAAUUUAGUGCUGUACACCUUCCUCUCAUUCCUCUUUUUGUUUCUCUAUCUCUUUAGUGUCACCAUUUUCUUGAUGCAUCAAGCUUAGGAGAUACUGAGGUCAUCAAU
Molecule: long non-coding RNA, 1223 nt
Organism: Amphimedon queenslandica
Lineage: Eukaryota; Metazoa; Porifera; Demospongiae; Haplosclerida; Niphatidae
Exons: 4
Source: RefSeq, a predicted model, not a curated record